AUCCUCUGGAGAUCUUGUUAAAAUGCAGAUUCUGAUUCAGUAGGUCUGGGACGGGAUUCUGUAUUUCUAACAAGCUCCCAGGGGAUGCUGG
Molecule: microRNA precursor, 91 nt
Filed under: Equus caballus (horse)
Lineage: Eukaryota; Metazoa; Chordata; Mammalia; Perissodactyla; Equidae
Description: mir-544 microRNA precursor family
Rfam family: mir-544 microRNA precursor family
Source: Rfam by way of RNAcentral